Molecule: ribosomal RNA, 2465 nt
Filed under: Listeria monocytogenes
Lineage: Bacteria; Bacillati; Bacillota; Bacilli; Caryophanales; Listeriaceae
Description: partial 23S ribosomal RNA
Rfam family: Bacterial large subunit ribosomal RNA
Source: RNAcentral
CUGAGUACGGCGGAACACGUGAAAUUCCGUCGGAAUCCGGGAGGACCAUCUCCCAAGGCUAAAUACUCCCUAGUGACCGAUAGUGAACCAGUACCGUGAGGGAAAGGUGAAAAGCACCCCGGAAGGGGAGUGAAACAGUUCCUGAAACCGUGUGCCUACAAGUAGUUAGAGCCCGUUAAUGGGUGAUAGCGUGCCUUUUGUAGAAUGAACCGGCGAGUUACGAUUUGUUGCAAGGUUAAGCGGAAAAAGCGGAGCCGUAGCGAAAGCGAGUCUGAAUAGGGCGCAUAAGUAACAGGUCGUAGACCCGAAACCAGGUGAUCUACCCAUGUCCAGGAUGAAGGUAAGGUAAUACUUACUGGAGGUCCGAACCCACGCACGUUGAAAAGUGCGGGGAUGAGGUGUGGGUAGCGGAGAAAUUCCAAUCGAACUUGGAGAUAGCUGGUUCUCUCCGAAAUAGCUUUAGGGCUAGCCUCGAGGUAAAGAGUCAUGGAGGUAGAGCACUGUUUGGACUAGGGGCCCUUCUCGGGUUACCGAAUUCAGAUAAACUCCGAAUGCCAUGUACUUAUACUCGGGAGUCAGACUGCGAGUGAUAAGAUCCGUAGUCGAAAGGGAAACAGCCCAGACCACCAGUUAAGGUCCCCAAAUAUAUGUUAAGUGGAAAAGGAUGUGGGGUUGCUUAGACAACCAGGAUGUUGGCUUAGAAGCAGCCACCAUUGAAAGAGUGCGUAAUAGCUCACUGGUCGAGUGACCCCGCGCCGAAAAUGUACCGGGGCUAAACAUAUUACCGAAACUGUGGAUGAACCUCUUUAGAGGUUCGUGGUAGGAGAGCGUUCUAAGGGCGGUGAAGUCAGACCGGAAGGACUGGUGGAGCGCUUAGAAGUGAGAAUGCCGGUAUGAGUAGCGAAAGAAGGGUGAGAAUCCCUUCCACCGAAUAUCUAAGGUUUCCUGAGGAAGGCUCGUCCGCUCAGGGUUAGUCGGGACCUAAGCCGAGGCCGAUAGGCGUAGGCGAUGGACAACAGGUAGAGAUUCCUGUACCAGUGCUAAUUGUUUAACCGAUGGGGUGACACAGAAGGAUAGGGAAUCGCACGAAUGGAAAUGUGCGUCCAAGCAGUGAGUGUGAGAAGUAGGCAAAUCCGCUUCUCGCGAAGCAUGAGCUGUGAUGGGGAAGGAAAUUAAGUACGGAAGUUCCUGAUUUCACGCUGUCAAGAAAAGCCUCUAGGAAGAGUAGUACUGCCCGUACCGCAAACCGACACAGGUAGAUGAGGAGAGAAUCCUAAGGUGAGCGAGAGAACUCUCGUUAAGGAACUCGGCAAAAUGACCCCGUAACUUCGGGAGAAGGGGUGCUCUAUUAGGGUGCAAGCCCGAGAGAGCCGCAGUGAAUAGGCCCAGGCGACUGUUUAGCAAAAACACAGGUCUCUGCAAAACCGUAAGGUGACGUAUAGGGGCUGACGCCUGCCCGGUGCUGGAAGGUUAAGAGGAGUGCUUAGCUUCGGCGAAGGUACGAAUUGAAGCCCCAGUAAACGGCGGCCGUAACUAUAACGGUCCUAAGGUAGCGAAAUUCCUUGUCGGGUAAGUUCCGACCCGCACGAAAGGCGCAACGAUCUGGGCACUGUCUCAACGAGAGACUCGGUGAAAUUAUAGUACCUGUGAAGAUGCAGGUUACCCGCGACAGGACGGAAAGACCCCGUGGAGCUUUACUGCAACCUGAUAUGGAAUGUUUGUACCGCUUGUACAGGAUAGGUAGGAGCCGAAGAGACGUGUGCGCUAGCAUACGAGGAGGCAAUGGUGGGAUACUACCCUGGCUGUAUGACCAUUCUAACCCGCCACGCUUAGCGCGUGGGGAGACAGUGUCAGGUGGGCAGUUUGACUGGGGCGGUCGCCUCCUAAAGAGUAACGGAGGCGCCCAAAGGUUCCCUCAGAAUGGAUGGAAAUCAUUCGCAGAGUGUAAAGGCACAAGGGAGCUUGACUGCGAGACUGACAAGUCGAGCAGGGACGAAAGUCGGGCUUAGUGAUCCGGUGGUUCCGCAUGGAAGGGCCAUCGCUCAACGGAUAAAAGCUACCCCGGGGAUAACAGGCUUAUCUCCCCCAAGAGUCCACAUCGACGGGGAGGUUUGGCACCUCGAUGUCGGCUCGUCGCAUCCUGGGGCUGUAGUCGGUCCCAAGGGUUGGGCUGUUCGCCCAUUAAAGCGGCACGCGAGCUGGGUUCAGAACGUCGUGAGACAGUUCGGUCCCUAUCCGUCGCGGGCGCAGGAAAUUUGAGAGGAGCUGUCCUUAGUACGAGAGGACCGGGAUGGACACACCGCUGGUGUACCAGUUGUUCCGCCAGGAGCAUCGCUGGGUAGCUAUGUGUGGCAGGGAUAAACGCUGAAAGCAUCUAAGCGUGAAGCCCCCCUCAAGAUGAGAUUUCCCAUUUCUUCGGAAAGUAAGAUCCCUGAAAGAUGAUCAGGUAGAUAGGUUUGGAGUGG